RNAcentral lists this ribosomal RNA (477 nucleotides) under uncultured bacterium. RNAcentral describes it as "partial 16S ribosomal RNA". It matches the Rfam family "Bacterial small subunit ribosomal RNA", at positions 30 to 507 of the family's 1533-position model. The record is from RNAcentral.
AUUGAACGCUGGCGGCAUGCCUUACACAUGCAAGUCGAACGGUAACUGGUUAAGCUGACGAGUGGCGAACGGGUGAGUAAUGUAUCGGAACGUGCCCAGUCGUGGGGGAUAACUGCUCGAAAGAGCAGCUAAUACCGCAUACGACCUGAGGGUGAAAGCGGGGGAUCGCAAGACCUCGCGCGAUUGGAGCGGCCGAUAUCAGAUUAGGUAGUUGGUGAGGUAAAGGCUCACCAAGCCGACGAUCUGUAGCUGGUCUGAGAGGACGACCAGCCACACUGGGACUGAGACACGGCCCAGACUCCUACGGGAGGCAGCAGUGGGGAAUUUUGGACAAUGGGCGCAAGCCUGAUCCAGCCAUGCCGCGUGCGGGAAGAAGGCCUUCGGGUUGUAAACCGCUUUUGUCAGGGAAGAAAAGGUUCUGGCUAAUACCUGGGACUCAUGACGGUACCUGAAGAAUAAGCACCGGCUAACUACGUG